GCCGCCAUUUUAAUUCCCCACAAUACUGCUGAUAACAGGGCAUUGUGUGAAACUCAAGUGGCCAACGGCUGCUCUCACCAUCACUGCCAAGUAAACCCACCCACUUAAGAAGGGGACUGCUAAAGGGCAUUUAUGCCUAGGGUUCUCUCAGCCAGUGGAGCUCUCCAUAAUCCCAUGUCUCCAUGGAAGGCAUUUCAGAAUUGGGAUACCACAACUGGAAAAGCCCUGUUUUAUAGGCGGUGGUGGUGGGGACCCAAAGAAGGACUUGUGAGAAUCAUUUUAGUGUCCCAGCAGAUUCAUGUGAGAGAAGGUGGUCUUUAAGGUCCUAUAAUUAGAAGGGAAUAAACUGUUGUUGUUGUUUAAUUUCAGUUUACAGUGGUACCUCGGGAUACAUACGCUUCAGGUUACAGACUCCGCUAACCCAGAAAAUGUACCUCAGGUUAAGAACUUUGCUUCAGGGUAAGAACAGAAAUUGUGCUCCGGCGGCGCGGCAGCAGCAGGAGGCCCCAUUAGCUAAAGUGGUGCUUCAGGUUAAGAACAGAAAUCGUGCUCUGGUGGCGCGGCGGCAGCAGGAGGCCCCAUUAGCUAAAGUGGUGCUUCAGGUUAAGAACAGAAAUCGUGCUCCGGCGGCGCGGCAGCAGCAGGAGGCCCCAUUAGCUAAAGUGGUGCUUCAGGAUGAGAACAGAAAUCGUGCUCCGGCGGCGCGGCGGCAACAGGACGCCCCAUUAGCUAAAGUGGUACCUCAGGUUAAGAACAGUUUCAGAUUAAGAAUGGACCUCCGGAACAAAUUAAGUACGUAACCAGAGGUGCCACUGUACAUUAAUAUCUGAACCAUCAUUCACUUUUUAUGUCACCUGUGAGCAUUAAGUGCGCAACUGGUCUUCCAGUUUCCACUGUUAACCACAUGUCCCUAUAUAUUCCAGACAAAGGGGUUUGUGGCUAUCAUUUAUUUGCUACAGGAAGCACCUUGCAAACAGAGAUCACAUGACCCAGGUGGCGCGGCAGUGGCAGCAUCAAAGCUUCACAGGUGGUAAUUAGAAUGAUUUUUCAACUCGCUGAUGAAAAACACCCAUCAUUUAAAUUAAAUAUAUAAUAUGGGAUAAUGUAAGCUUUGGGCGAGGGUCUGAAAUUUGCAGCCCUAUCCUUUGCAUGUUUAUUCAGGAGGAAAUCCUGCUUGGUUCUGCAAGACUUACUUCCAUGUAAGUGUACAUAGGAUUGCAGCCUUGGUGUAUAUUCUGCUGGGUUGUGUGUUUGUGUUUGUGUGUGUGUGUGUUUAAAUCUAAGUUUUUUGGUCUAUAACAGGGUUGGGGCACUGUGAUACAAAUCAGCAUGGCCAAAAGUCCAGGUGGUGAAAGUUAUACAUUCAGCAAUGCCUGCCACGCCAAAGAUUUCCCUGGUAUAAAAUAUAUUGACAUGUCAUUUCAAAAUAGUAAUCUGUCCCAAAUUAGGAGACUGGAUAUGAAUUGGAAUAAACAAAUGCAUAUAUAUGCAACUGAAGGGACCUCAGAGCAAAACCAGGCUACCUACCACCAGAUUUCCCCCACAGAUUAAAUCGCAAAAUUCAGAUUACAGCGUGACAUUGGCAGAACAAAGGAGCGAAUCAAAUGCUUGACCUCAAAAAUGCUCUUCUCAUUCACACCUCCUUGCUGCUCACAUUAUAUUUCAUUUUUAAUUUGUGUGCCACCUUUCCACUUUUCCGUUCUUAGGGCAGUUUACAACAAAAUAUGCAGCAAAGUAACAUAGUCAUCCUCGAACAACUUGACCAAUAUUCAAAUUCAAAAUACAACUAAAAUCCAGAAUAUAACUAAUAAUAUGUGACACAAUUAAAAAAUGAAUUUCACAUAUACAUUACGAAAUAAUAUAAUAUCGGCUAAUGAUAAGAAAAUAAAAUCACCCCAUCAGUUAUGAUAAACCUCAGGAGUACAUUAGAAACAACCAAGAAAAAUGGGUUAUCCAAACUAGGGAUGGGGGAAGAAUUUCAUUCAGUUUGCUUUUAUAGGCAAAUCUGUCAAAUGCACUCUUUCUAAAACAAUCUGAGAACUGAAACACAGCCAGGCUUUGAAAUUUGCAAUUAUGCAACCAACAAAAAUGUUUACAAAAAUGCAUAUAUUAUGAGAAGGUGUGCAUAAAAUGAUGCAUUUAUUAGUGAGAAUAGCAUACAAAAUGCCUUAGAUUAAGUUUUACAUCAGUCACAGCUGUGUACAAAAAUAUGUUUUUUUAGGAGAAAAUCACACUAACAUGCUGGUGAUUUUGUUUUUAAUUGCAAAUUGCUGUAAACUAAAUUUAAGAUUGAAAAAUGAGAAACAGAGAACCAACGUUGAUAGAUCGUUUGAUCCAUAAUCCAUACCAAAUUAGCUACACUCGGGGUCCUUUUAAAUCUAUGUAAAAAGAUUAGUCAAACUAACUCCCAUCUGGAUCCAACCCAGGAGUAGCAAAAUGAUUUAUUGGGCUAACUUCCAGCCAGGCAAUACUAUCCUUAAAAAAUAAAUAAAAAUGAAUGGCUACACCUGAAGAUGAACUCUGUAUAACCUAAAAGCUUAUACUCCCAGCAUUCUCCAUUGUAAUCUAUGGCCCAAUAAAGUAGCAUCCAUUUCUUGCUCAGCACAGCCGACAAUGCCAUUUAAUGCACAUGAAUGAGCAAAGCCCUGGGUUGAGAGGAGAAGGGGGAAAACAUUCCUUCACCCUGAGUUGAUUCCCAUGUAACCUUUUUGUGACCUCCAGCAGAGGGUCAGUUGGUUGGGUGGCUUUUUAAAUGUUUAUUUUGCUUCAGGGUUUUUCCUCUUUGGUCAUUGCGGAAUGCUGAUUGCUCUCUAAUCCUUUUAAUGUAACCAGCCAACCUGUCUUCAGUAGAAACUGCCUGAAUUAAUGUCACUAUUUCUUUCUACUUCAGCUUCAGCCUUUCCAAGACUUAUUUUGUUCAGUCCCCAACGCCUGAAAUAAAGAACAAAAAUCCGUAUAUAAUUGGGUAUUGUUGCUAUUAUUACUAUUUAUCAUUUAUCUAAUUCCCAUCAGUGCACGACAUACAGUACCAGAAAGGUUGCUGGGUUAAGUUUGUGUGUUGCGGGGGAAACAACAAAGAGUCUUGGGGUGCCUGGAAGACGAACGUAUUUAUUACGGCAUAAGCUUUUGUGGAAACACGAAGUGUAAUCCUCAAUUGCAGGUACAUGUACACAGGAGGGGAGAAUUUGUUAGUGCGGACAUCAGAGGGAAAUGAAAUGCAAAAAAUAAGAGUCAGUUACAAUUCAGUUACAGCGAGAUGUAUGCAACAUAAGUACAGUGGCCCUUUGCAAGAGCAGUGAUAGGUGAUAAAUCUGUCAGCUUGGCAACAUGAGUUAAUGAAGGUUUGUAAUGGUACAUGAAACAGUAGCAGCCCAUAUUGGGGGGAGCAGAAAUGGCAUGAGGCUUGAUUAGGGCAAGGUUGUAGUGAGUUGAGAGGUAGUGUCAGGAGGGGAGCUUAAUAGCUCCCCCUCUCAAUGGGCUGGAGCAGUCAGGAAACCGUUGUCUUUAUCCAGCCCUAAAUGAUUAGAACUGAACUUUUUUGGUGAAUUGAAAUUCUGGCGCUGUGGUCUAAACCACAGAGCUUAGGACUUGCUGAUCAGAAGUUCGGCGGUUCGAAUCCCUGCGACGGGGUGAGCUCCCGUUGCUCGGUCCCUGCUCCUGCCAACCUAGCAGUUCGAAAGCACGUCAAAGUGCAAGUAGACAAAUAGGUACCACUCUGGCAGGAAGGUAAACAGCGUUUCCAUGCGCUGCUCUGGUUCGCCAGAAGCGGCUUAGUCAUGCUGGCCACAUGACCCGGAAGCUGUCUGCAGACAAAUGCCGGCUCCUUUGGCCAGUAAAGCGAGAUGAGCGCCACAGCCCCAGCGUCGUCCGCGACUGGACCUAAUGGUCAGGGGUCCCUUUACCCUUUACCUUAAUUUCCUGUUAAGAGCCUCCCUUUGAUGUUUGUGCAAAUAUAGCCACAGUAAUUCAGUAGCAGUGUGCUGCUGAUACACUGAAACGGUCUCCUAUUAGGAAUCAGGGCUCAAAACUGGGUUUCUUUAUAUCCAGUCCUAAUCUGUUAGCUAUUGUGUUUCAGCCCCUGCUUUGGAGGCAAGGACUUGAACCAAUUGAUUCAAGCCACAAGAAAAGAGAUUUCGACUAAACAUCAGGAAGGACUUUCUGGCCGUAAGAGCUGUUCAACAGUGGAACACACUUCCACAAGAAGCAGUGGACUCUCCUUCCUUGGGGAUUUUUAAUAAGAGGUUGGAUGGCCACCUGUCAUGUAUUUUAGUUGAGAUUCUGGUAUUGCAAGGGAUUGGACUAGAUGACCCUCAGGGUCCCAACUUUACAAUUCUUUGAUUCUGUAAGAGAGAGCCAUUAAUCACGUGCAGAGUGCAACCUCUAGGUAACUGGGUCGGCAUCCAGUCCAUACAUAUGGAGCAGAGCUGCGGAAAGCGGUUGGCUUCUAGGUACGCAUUAUUAUUCUCAGUAUCUCUGGUUUUUUAACCACCGUUUUAAAGAAAAUGGAGCCAAUCCAAGCACUCCAGUGUGAA
Molecule: long non-coding RNA, 4532 nt
Organism: Podarcis muralis (Common wall lizard)
Lineage: Eukaryota; Metazoa; Chordata; Lepidosauria; Squamata; Lacertidae
Source: Ensembl